This 497-nucleotide ribosomal RNA is filed under the name uncultured bacterium. RNAcentral's name for it is "partial 16S ribosomal RNA". It matches the Rfam family "Bacterial small subunit ribosomal RNA", at positions 28 to 507 of the family's 1533-position model. The record is from RNAcentral.
GAUGAACGCUGGCGGCAUGCCUAAUACAUGCAAGUCGAGCGAACAUACCAGGAGCUUGCUCCUCUGACUGUGGCAGCGGACGGGUUAUUAACACGUGUAUAACCUACCUAUAAGACUGGGAUAAUUUCGGGGUAUCGGAGCUAAUACGGGAUAACAUGUUGAACCGCGUUUAUCACCAGUUGAAUACGGUCUUGCUGUCGCUAAUGGAUUGCUCAGCGCCGAAUUAGUUAGUUGUUAAGGUGACUGCUUACCAAGGCAACGAUGCGUAGCCGACCUGAGAGCGAGAUUGGCCAGAUUGGAACUGAGGCAGGGUAGCGACACCUAGAGGAGGAAGCAGCACAGACUCUUACGCAAUGGACGAAAGCGUAACGGAGCAAAGCCGCGUGAGCGAAGAAGGUCUUAGGCUCGUAAAGCUCUGUUAUCAGGGAAGAACAAAAGUGUAAGCAACUAUGAACGUAAUGACGGUACCAACACAGAAAGCCACGGCUAACUCCGUG